AUUUGGGACACGAGCAUGCCACCCCCGACGCUAGGCAAACCACACCGAAUGGUCUCGUCCAUUAUUGUAAUACAUAGUUAUACUCUUAAAGCGGUAAAACCCGGAAAGCUACAAGACAAUUUCACUAGUCAUAACUGCUAAGUUCAAAACGCCACCAUACCAGUGUCCACAUUGAUUGUAACAUCUUUCCUAAUUUAAUGGGCGAUACUGUAUAUCAAAGACAAA
Pelobates cultripes (western spadefoot toad) is the source of this 225-nucleotide non-coding RNA. The record is from the annotation of a GenBank genome assembly. NCBI's taxonomy places the organism in Eukaryota, Metazoa, Chordata, Amphibia, Anura, Pelobatidae.